This 83-nucleotide transfer RNA is filed under the name Trichoderma longibrachiatum SMF2. RNAcentral's name for it is "tRNA-Leu (TAG) (tRNA-Leu-TAG-1-1)". It matches the Rfam family "tRNA". Rfam says of the family: Transfer RNA (tRNA) molecules are approximately 80 nucleotides in length. Their secondary structure includes four short double-helical elements and three loops (D, anti-codon, and T loops). The record is from RNAcentral. Lineage: Eukaryota; Fungi; Ascomycota; Sordariomycetes; Hypocreales; Hypocreaceae.
GCGAGUUUGGCCGAGUGGUCUAAGGCGCCGUGUUUAGGCCGCGGUGGGCAUCGCCCGCGCAGGUUCGAACCCUGCAGCUCGCA